GGCCUAUUCGUCUAGUGGUUAGGACUCAAGAUUUUCAUUCUUGCAACAGAGGUUCGAUUCCUUUAUAGGCUACAA
This 75-nucleotide transfer RNA is filed under the name Chryseobacterium koreense CCUG 49689. RNAcentral describes it as "tRNA-Glu". It matches the Rfam family "tRNA". Rfam says of the family: Transfer RNA (tRNA) molecules are approximately 80 nucleotides in length. Their secondary structure includes four short double-helical elements and three loops (D, anti-codon, and T loops). Lineage: Bacteria; Pseudomonadati; Bacteroidota; Flavobacteriia; Flavobacteriales; Weeksellaceae. The record is from RNAcentral.